Molecule: long non-coding RNA, 582 nt
Organism: Malus domestica (apple)
Lineage: Eukaryota; Viridiplantae; Streptophyta; Magnoliopsida; Rosales; Rosaceae
Source: RefSeq, a predicted model, not a curated record
AUAAGGACCUUCAAGGUUAGUUCUUUGAAUCAACGACUCUCUUUUUAUCUCACUUGUACAUAUUUCACACGCGUGCACAAACACACACACAUCCCACAAAAUCAAGAUGGAGCGUUCCGGGCGUUUGUUUUCAACUAUCUUCAUCCUCAUCUUACUUUUGGUGGCUAUUGGAACGGGGCCAAUGGUUACUGAGGGGAAGACAAACGAGAACUCGUCAAAGAAUGAGAAGUCAUCGAAGAUUUGUGAGUCUCCGAGCCAUAAAUACCGCGGUAUUUGCUUUCGGUCAAGCAAUUGUGCAACUACAUGCAAAAAAGAGGGAUUUAUGGGAGGCAAAUGUGCUGGCUUCCGGAUGAGAUGUGUAUGCACUAAAAAAUGUUAAGUCAUACAAAAACUAACGUACGUAUUUGGAUGCAUGCGUGGGAAUAAAAGAAUUUUUUGUUUUGUUUGUUUGAAGAGAAUAAAUGACUAAACCCUAAUUCACAAUGGGUUUCCAUGUGCCUUUGUUUUUUGUUGUUUUACGUUGAACAUAUAUGUUUAAACGACUUAAGAUUUUCCAUCAAUGCAUUUUUCUUUUCAAUUGUU